UACAGAGGGUGCAAGCGUUGUUCGGAAUUAUUGGGCGUAAAGCGCGUGUAGGCGGCUUUGCAAGUCGGGUGUGAAAGCCCUCAGCUCAACUGAGGAAGUGCGCCCGAAACUGCAGAGCUUGAGUACCGGAGAGGAUGGCGGAAUUCCCCAAGUAGAGGUGAAAUUCGUAGAUAUGGGGAGGAACACCGGUGGCGAAGGCGGCCACCUGGACGGAUACUGACGCUGAGACGCGAAAGCGUGGGGAGCAAACAGG
RNAcentral lists this ribosomal RNA (253 nucleotides) under uncultured bacterium. RNAcentral describes it as "partial 16S ribosomal RNA". It matches the Rfam family "Bacterial small subunit ribosomal RNA", at positions 524 to 776 of the family's 1533-position model. The record is from RNAcentral.